UACGUAGGGUGCGAGCGUUGUCCGGAAUUACUGGGCGUAAAGAGCUCGUAGGCGGUUUGUCGCGUUGUUCGUGAAAACUCACAACUCAAUUGUGGGCGUGCGGGCGAUACGGGCAGACUGGAGUGCUGCAGGGGAGACUGGAAUUCCUGGUGUAGCGGUGGAAUGCGCAGAUAUCAGGAGGAACACCGGUGGCGAAGGCGGGUCUCUGGGCAACAACUGACGCUGAGGAGCGAAAGCGUGGGGAGCGAACAGG
RNAcentral lists this ribosomal RNA (253 nucleotides) under uncultured bacterium. RNAcentral describes it as "partial 16S ribosomal RNA". It matches the Rfam family "Bacterial small subunit ribosomal RNA", at positions 524 to 776 of the family's 1533-position model. The record is from RNAcentral.